UGGCCCUGUAGCUGCGGGAGAGCGACCUGUGCGUGCGCCUCGGGGAACCGCUCCCAGUCACUGACUGAGCUGCCCGACAGGUUCCGCAGAGCAUUGUACAAGUUGGUUGAUGACAGUGCGACUAAUUGUGAUGAAUUUCUUGGUGACGUAUUUUCUUUGAGAACAAAACCAAACACGACAACCAAAUUAUCACCCUCUGGACUACUGUAUGGCUUUGAGGCAAGUUUCCCAGACUAAAUCUCAGACAACUACACGCCAACAGAUUUGAGGAACUUGAUGAAGAAUACUACAAAGAGUACAUCAUGAAAAUUGAAGCUAGACGUGAUGCUGAAACUAAAUUGGCUAUCAGUAAUAUUUCAAAUGCACAGGAAAAGCAACAAAUACAGUAUGCCAAAAUGAAGACUCGUAAACAUGGGGAAAUAACAUUCAAGGUUGGUGACACUGUCAUGUUACUGAAUGCGAGAAGGAAAACAAGAAAGGGAGGGCAGCUACAACCUACCUACGUGGGACCAUACAAAACUGCCGCUGCAUGGGCAAAAGAGUUAACUUAGAAAACAAGAUAGGGAAAGGUUUAGCAAAGUUGUACAGUAUUUCCCAACUAAAAGUAUUUAAAGAGCCUCCAAAAUUAGGUGAGGAAAACAUAUCACAGAGAAACAUGGAAAAGGAACCUGCUGUGGAUGUGUCAUAAACAGAUAAGUAAGAGUUAAUAAAACAGAAGUACUUCAUAUCUCUUUUGACUGUAAAGGGUUAAC
Molecule: long non-coding RNA, 752 nt
Organism: Gopherus evgoodei (Goodes thornscrub tortoise)
Lineage: Eukaryota; Metazoa; Chordata; Testudines; Testudinidae
Exons: 3
Source: RefSeq, a predicted model, not a curated record